This 565-nucleotide ribosomal RNA is filed under the name uncultured Glomeromycotina. RNAcentral describes it as "SSU rRNA". It matches the Rfam family "Eukaryotic small subunit ribosomal RNA", at positions 548 to 1114 of the family's 1831-position model. Lineage: Eukaryota; Fungi; Glomeromycota. The record is from RNAcentral.
UUGGAGGGCAAGUCUGGUGCCAGCAGCCGCGGUAAUUCCAGCUCCAAUAGCGUAUAUUAAAGUUGUUGCAGUUAAAAAGCUCGUAGUUGAAUUUCGGGGUCAGUAGGUUGGUCAUGCCACUGGUAUGUACUGGUCUCACUGAUUCCUCCUUCCUGAUGAGCCGUAAUGCCAUUAAUUUGGUGUUGCGAGGAAUCUGGACUGUUACUUUGAAAAAAUUAGAGUGUUUAAAGCAAGCUAACGCUUGAAUACAUUAGCAUGGAAUAAUGAAAUAGGACGUUCGAUCCUAUUUUGUUGGUUUCUAGGAUUGACGUAAUGAUUAAUAGGGAUAGUUGGGGGCAUUAGUAUUCAAUUGUCAGAGGUGAGAUUCUUGGAUUUAUUGAAGACUAACUACUGCGAAAGCAUUUGCCAAGGAUGUUUUCAUUAAUCAAGAACGAAAGUUAGGGGAUCGAAGACGAUCAGAUACCGUCGUAGUCUUAACCAUAAACUAUGCCGACUAGGGAUCGGAUGAUGUUAAUUUUUUAAUGACUCAUUCGGCGCCUUACGGGAAACCAAAGUGUUUGGGUUC